AUUUGGCAUCAUGUCGCUUUACAGACCCGCUGGUGAACAAGUACAGUGCAAUCCCCCUAAGCUGAACUCAUUUUGAAAACUAUACCCCAAGUGUAUUCAACUAGAGAAAUGUAGAUACAUUUGCAAAGAUUUUCAAAUCACUGAGAAAUUUCUGUUACAGUCAAGGAUACCCGAUUUAUCAUGGCAAGGAGGAAGAAACUAAAAGAAGAGUGAACCAAAAUCACACCAGAGUAGUGUGAGAGACUAGUGAUGUCCUGUGGGGGGCACAGAUGUGCUUAAGUCAUUCAAAGCAAAGGCCUGUCCACUUCCCUUCUGAUUGGUGACUGUUGGAAUCUUCAGAAAAUUUACUAAGAAUCUUUCUCUGCGCUACAGUCAUUGCUGUUCUUAAAACAUUUUAUUUUUUUUAAAUAAAGGUUUUAUGUUGAUAUACAUUUGUUAUUUUGUAAAACACUGUUACCCCUUACAAAAAAUCCUUCAAAUUAUGAUCAAUGUAGAUUACAUUACUUCAGAAUAAAUCAAGUGUUCAUGAAUUGUUCUCAAAUUUUGAUCUCCCGUGUAUGACUCCAGUAUAAAAAUUGCACCUCUCAAAGAAUUCAAAUUGACAUUCAGAAAGGAAGAAGCGACAUUUGGCUGGAAUAGUUUUUGGGGGUCUUUACAAGUUUUUGUUGCAUUUACAAACCCCCAAUGUGACUCCAUUUUAGGAAAUUUUCAUUUUUACAAGGGCUAAAAGGAGAAAAGGCUCCAAAAAUGUGUAACCCACUUUCUCCCAAGUACGGAAAUACCCCAUAUGUGGACACAUGGCAGGGCUCAGAAGUGAAAGCAUGCCAUUGGGAUUUUGGAGAAUGCUUUUGACGAGAAUGGAUAUUAGGGGUUAUGUCACGUUUAUAAAGCCCCCGUGAUACCAGAACAGUGGAAACCUCCCAAAUUUGACCAUUUUGGAAACUAAACCCCUAAAAGGAACAUAGCUAGGAGUGCAGUGAUCAUUUAGACUCCACAGGUGUAAACAUAUUUACUGCCCACUGUUCCAAAAAUCUGUCAGACACCAGUGGGGUCUAAAUUAUCAUUCCCCUUGUUACAUUUCUUGAGGGGUGGUUUCCAAAAUGGGUUCACAUGUGGGGUUUAAGUUUUCAGCUUGUAUGUCAGAACCUCUUCAACGAUCAGCUAUUGCAGUGCAAAUCACCAAUUUAGGCCUCAAAUGUACAUGGUGCCUUCUUACUCCUGAGCCACGUUGGGCAACACUGUUCUGUGGCCGGAUCGUAUUCAGUGUACAGAUAGCCCUUAUUUCUGGUCACAGAAUUUUUAAUAACCAGCCUUUUUUUGAGGUGCAGGUUUUUUACGCUUUAUUUUGGAUGUUUGUGCCACCAGCAACUGUUCUGCGCUGUGUGACCGGA
Molecule: long non-coding RNA, 1391 nt
Organism: Hyla sarda
Lineage: Eukaryota; Metazoa; Chordata; Amphibia; Anura; Hylidae
Exons: 3
Source: RefSeq, a predicted model, not a curated record